Small nucleolar RNA from Suncus etruscus (white-toothed pygmy shrew), 136 nucleotides. RefSeq annotates it as small nucleolar RNA SNORA70. The transcript has a single exon. The record is from RefSeq and is a predicted model, not a curated record. NCBI's taxonomy places the organism in Eukaryota, Metazoa, Chordata, Mammalia, Eulipotyphla, Soricidae.
GUGCAGCCAAUUAAGCCAACUGUGCCUCUGCCCUGUGGGACCCAGUGUGCAACUGUUGCAGAUAGCAAGCAGCCUCCUUGGUAGUGUACGCAGCUGUGACUUGUAUGGGCUGUAAUAAGGGACCUUGGAGACAGUC